This 253-nucleotide ribosomal RNA is filed under the name uncultured bacterium. Its description in RNAcentral is "partial 16S ribosomal RNA". It matches the Rfam family "Bacterial small subunit ribosomal RNA", at positions 524 to 776 of the family's 1533-position model. The record is from RNAcentral.
UACGAAGGUCCCAAGCGUUGUUCGGAAUCACUGGGCGUAAAGAGUAUGUAGGCGGUACGGUAAGUCAGAUGUGAAAUCUCCAGGCUCAACCUGGAAACUGCAUCCGAUACUACCAUACUAGAGUAAUGGAGGGGUGACUGGAAUUCUCGGUGUAGCAGUGAAAUGCGUAGAUAUCGAGAGGAACACUCGUGGCGAAGGCGAGUCACUGGACAUUUACUGACGCUGAGAUACGAAGGCCAGGGUAGCGAAAGGG